UCGAACGAUGAUGCUCCAGCUUGCUGGGGUGGAUUAGUGGCGAACGGGUGAGUAACACGUGAGUAACCUGCCCCCUUCUUCGGGAUAAGCUUGGGAAACUGGGUCUAAUACUGGAUAUUCUACAAUUGUCGCAUGGUGGUUGUGGGAAAGAUUUUUGGUGGGGGAUGGGCUCGCGGCCUAUCAGCUUGUUGGUGGGGUGAUGGCCUACCAAGGCGUCGACGGGUAGCCGGCCUGAGAGGGUGACCGGCCACACUGGGACUGAGAUACGGCCCAGACUCC
Molecule: ribosomal RNA, 279 nt
Filed under: unidentified marine bacterioplankton
Lineage: Bacteria
Also listed under: 1 other name
Description: partial 16S ribosomal RNA
Rfam family: Bacterial small subunit ribosomal RNA
Source: RNAcentral